GGUACCGCCCCUUUGUGACAUGUGGCGCUUUGAAUGAGUGCUAGCAGUUGGGUUAUCCUCCUGUCUGUCGUGUGCUGGCUGUUGGCCAGUUUUCAGAUAUGGGCCUGCAAGUAGCUGUAAUCCUGCGUGGUGAGCGACCAUGUGUAUUGCAGCAUUGUACCGUUUUCUUGGAUUGAUUGCACGUCCAGGGGUUUCUAAUGAUCUUAAUUGAAGCCUAACGAACCUCAAGUAACUGACUGCACUUCUGCUCUGCUCUACUGUUUUGUUCUGUCUGGAAUUCA
Molecule: long non-coding RNA, 281 nt
Organism: Sinocyclocheilus anshuiensis
Lineage: Eukaryota; Metazoa; Chordata; Actinopteri; Cypriniformes; Cyprinidae
Exons: 3
Source: RefSeq, a predicted model, not a curated record